GGGUCGUUAGCUCAGUCGGCAGAGCACCUGACUUUUAAUCAGGGAGUCACUGGUUCGAGUCCAGUACGACCCA
This 73-nucleotide transfer RNA is filed under the name Candidatus Atribacteria bacterium. RNAcentral describes it as "tRNA-Lys". It matches the Rfam family "tRNA". Rfam says of the family: Transfer RNA (tRNA) molecules are approximately 80 nucleotides in length. Their secondary structure includes four short double-helical elements and three loops (D, anti-codon, and T loops). Lineage: Bacteria; Pseudomonadati; Atribacterota; Atribacteria. RNAcentral also lists the same sequence under 3 other names. The record is from RNAcentral.